UGGAACAACUUACCGAAAGGUGAGCUAAUGCCGGAUGAGUUAUAUAAGUGCAUGUUUAUAUAGGAAAAGUUGGGGAGACCUGACGCUGAAAGAUGGACUCGCGUCCCAUUAGCUAGUUGGUAGGGUAAUGGCCUACCAAGGCGACGAUGGGUAGCCGGCCUGAGAGGGUGGCCGGCCACACUGGGACUGAGACACGGCCCAGACUCCUACGGGAGGCAGCAGUGGGGAAUUUUGCGCAAUGCUCGUAAGAGUGACGCAGCGACGCCGCGUGAAUGACGAAGGCCUUCGGGUCGUAAAGUUCUUUCGACAGGGAAGAAAAUGCCUAUAAGUAACUGUGUAUGUAUUGACGGUACCUGUAUAAGCAGCCCCGGCUAACUCCGUGCCAGCAGCCGCGGUAAUACGGAGGGGGCGAGCGUUGUUCGGAGUGACUGGGCGUAAAGAGCACGUAGGCGGUGUUGUAAGUCAUUAGUCAAAGACUAGAGCUCAACUUUAGUAAGGCUAGUGAUACUAUAAUACUAGAGUAUCAGAGAGGAUUGCAGAAUUCCUGGUGUAGCGGUGAAAUGCGUA
RNAcentral lists this ribosomal RNA (567 nucleotides) under uncultured bacterium. RNAcentral describes it as "bacterial SSU rRNA". It matches the Rfam family "Bacterial small subunit ribosomal RNA", at positions 139 to 692 of the family's 1533-position model. The record is from RNAcentral.